UACAGAGGUCUCGAGCGUUGUUCGGAUUCAUUGGGCGUAAAGGGCGCGUAGGCGGCGAGGUAAGUCGGGUGUGAAAUCUCAGAGCUCAACUCUGAAAAGGCACUCGGUACUGCUUUGCUAGAGGACUGGAGAGGAGAUUGGAAUUCACGGUGUAGCAGUGAAAUGCGUAGAUAUCGUGAGGAAGACCAGUGGCGAAGGCGAAUCUCUGGACAGUUCCUGACGCUGAGGCGCGAAGGCUAGGGGAGCAAACGG
This 252-nucleotide ribosomal RNA is filed under the name uncultured bacterium. RNAcentral describes it as "partial 16S ribosomal RNA". It matches the Rfam family "Bacterial small subunit ribosomal RNA", at positions 524 to 775 of the family's 1533-position model. The record is from RNAcentral.